UCGACGUACGUCUACGAGGAGGUUAGUUAGUACUAUGGCUCAGGACGAACGCUGGCGGUGUGCCUCAUACAUGCAAGUCGAACGAGAAGUUACCUUCGGGUAAUGGAAAGUGGCGGACGGGUGAGUACAACAUAGGAAAUCUGCCCUAAAGCGGGGGACAACAGAGGGAAACUUCUGCUAAUACCCCAUAUGAGCUUAGUUGAAAUACUAAUCUUGAAAGAUUUAUCACUUUAGGAUGAGCCUGUGCCUGAUUAGCUGGUUGGUGGUGUAAUGGACUACCAAGGCGACGAUCAGUAGCUGGUUUGAGAGGAUGAUCAGCCACAAUGGGACUGAGACACGGCCCAUACUCCUACGGGAGGCAGCAGUAGGGAAUUUUGCGCAAUGGGGGAAACCCUGACGCAGCAACACCGCGUGAAUGUUAAGCCCUUCGGGGUGUAAAGUUCUGUCAAUAGGGAAGAAUAAAUGACUGUACCUAUAAAGGAAGCACCGGCUAACUCCGUGCCAGCCGCGGC
This 512-nucleotide ribosomal RNA is filed under the name uncultured bacterium. RNAcentral describes it as "bacterial SSU rRNA". It matches the Rfam family "Bacterial small subunit ribosomal RNA", at positions 1 to 518 of the family's 1533-position model. The record is from RNAcentral.